CUACGGGUCGCAGCAGUGGGGAAUAUUGGACAAUGGGCGCAAGCCUGAUCCAGCAAUGCCGCGUGAGUGAAGACGGCCUUAGGGUUGUAAAACUCUUUCGCUAGGGAAGAUAAUGACUGUACCUAGUAAAGAAGUCCCGGCUAACUCCGUGCCAGCAGCCGCGGUAAUACGGAGGGGACUAGCGUUGUUCGGAAUUACUGGGCGUAAAGAGUUCGUAGGCGGACUGACAAGUUAGAGGUGAAAUCCCAGGGCUCAACCCUGGAACUGCCUUUAAAACUGUCAGUCUAGAGACCGGAAGAGGUUAGGGGAAUACCUAGUGUAGAGGUGAAAUUCGUAGAUAUUAGGUGGAACACCAGUGGCGAAGGCGCCUAACUGGUCCGGUACUGACGCUGAGGAACGAAAGCGUGGGGAGCAAACAGGAUUAGAUACCCCCGUAGUC
Molecule: ribosomal RNA, 439 nt
Filed under: uncultured bacterium
Lineage: Bacteria
Description: partial 16S ribosomal RNA
Rfam family: Bacterial small subunit ribosomal RNA
Source: RNAcentral